This 98-nucleotide ribosomal RNA is filed under the name Sphingobium sp. Ant17. Lineage: Bacteria; Pseudomonadati; Pseudomonadota; Alphaproteobacteria; Sphingomonadales; Sphingobiaceae. The record is from RNAcentral.
CCAUAGCGUCUGUGACCCACCCGAUCCCAUCCCGAACUCGGCCGUGAAACCAGUCUGCGCCGAUGGUACUAUUGCUCAAGCACUGGAAGAGUAGGGCG